Molecule: ribosomal RNA, 1126 nt
Filed under: Salmonella enterica subsp. enterica serovar Senftenberg
Lineage: Bacteria; Pseudomonadati; Pseudomonadota; Gammaproteobacteria; Enterobacterales; Enterobacteriaceae
Description: bacterial SSU rRNA
Rfam family: Bacterial small subunit ribosomal RNA
Source: RNAcentral
AGAGUUUGAUCAUGGCUCAGAUUGAACGCUGGCGGCAGGCCUAACACAUGCAAGUCGAACGGUAACAGGAAGCAGCUUGCUGCUUCGCUGACGAGUGGCGGACGGGUGAGUAAUGUCUGGGAAACUGCCUGAUGGAGGGGGAUAACUACUGGAAACGGUGGCUAAUACCGCAUAACGUCGCAAGACCAAAGAGGGGGACCUUCGGGCCUCUUGCCAUCAGAUGUGCCCAGAUGGGAUUAGCUUGUUGGUGAGGUAACGGCUCACCAAGGCGACGAUCCCUAGCUGGUCUGAGAGGAUGACCAGCCACACUGGAACUGAGACACGGUCCAGACUCCUACGGGAGGCAGCAGUGGGGAAUAUUGCACAAUGGGCGCAAGCCUGAUGCAGCCAUGCCGCGUGUAUGAAGAAGGCCUUCGGGUUGUAAAGUACUUUCAGCGGGGAGGAAGGUGUUGUGGUUAAUAACCGCAGCAAUUGACGUUACCCGCAGAAGAAGCACCGGCUAACUCCGUGCCAGCAGCCGCGGUAAUACGGAGGGUGCAAGCGUUAAUCGGAAUUACUGGGCGUAAAGCGCACGCAGGCGGUCUGUCAAGUCGGAUGUGAAAUCCCCGGGCUCAACCUGGGAACUGCAUUCGAAACUGGCAGGCUUGAGUCUUGUAGAGGGGGGUAGAAUUCCAGGUGUAGCGGUGAAAUGCGUAGAGAUCUGGAGGAAUACCGGUGGCGAAGGCGGCCCCCUGGACAAAGACUGACGCUCAGGUGCGAAAGCGUGGGGAGCAAACAGGAUUAGAUACCCUGGUAGUCCACGCCGUAAACGAUGUCUACUUGGAGGUUGUGCCCUUGAGGCGUGGCUUCCGGAGCUAACGCGUUAAGUAGACCGCCUGGGGAGUACGGCCGCAAGGUUAAAACUCAAAUGAAUUGACGGGGGCCCGCACAAGCGGUGGAGCAUGUGGUUUAAUUCGAUGCAACGCGAAGAACCUUACCUGGUCUUGACAUCCACGGAAGAAUUCAGAGAUGGAUUUGUGCCUUCGGGAACCGUGAGACAGGUGCUGCAUGGCUGUCGUCAGCUCGUGUUGUGAAAUGUUGGGUUAAGUCCCGCAACGAGCGCAACCCUUAUCCUUUGUUGCCAGCG